Molecule: ribosomal RNA, 227 nt
Filed under: Cohnella sp. SGD-V74
Lineage: Bacteria; Bacillati; Bacillota; Bacilli; Caryophanales; Paenibacillaceae
Source: RNAcentral
GGGCUUAUCCUAACGAAUGACACGACAAAGCAAGACACUUCACCUUCUUCUUCGCACCACUUGGUUCGCAUCCAGUUUUCAAGGCGUAAGCCUUGUUACAAAUGAUCUGGUCUGGUGAUGACGGCGGAGGGGUUCCACGCGUACCCAUCCCGAACACGACCGUUAAGCCCUCCAGCGCCGAUGGUACUUGGACCGCAGGGUCCUGGGAGAGUAGGACGUCGCCAGGC